GAUUAUUAAUUGUCUUUAUUUUUUCAAAUGUGCAGCCUUAUUCAUACUAUCUUUUGUUAGAAAAAUGAAAGAAGAGAAGACAUAGAAAUGAGCUUGGUAACUACCAUUCUUGUAGGUGGAUUUGCCAAAAUGGAAAAUGUAGACACUUUUGGGUUGCCAUUUCAAUUGUCUUCUUUGUUGCUGCUACAUUAUUUACUCUACUGAAACUUUGUGAUUUAAUCUUCCCCAGGUUGUAAAGUAUAUUUUGG
Cucumis sativus (cucumber) is the source of this 248-nucleotide long non-coding RNA. RefSeq lists it as uncharacterized. Lineage: Eukaryota; Viridiplantae; Streptophyta; Magnoliopsida; Cucurbitales; Cucurbitaceae. The transcript is spliced from 3 exons. The record is from RefSeq and is a predicted model, not a curated record.